RNAcentral lists this ribosomal RNA (312 nucleotides) under uncultured methanogenic archaeon. Its description in RNAcentral is "bacterial SSU rRNA". It matches the Rfam family "Archaeal small subunit ribosomal RNA", at positions 319 to 633 of the family's 1478-position model. Lineage: Archaea; Methanobacteriati; Methanobacteriota. The record is from RNAcentral.
UCCCUACGGGGCGCAGCAGGCGCGAAAUCUUUACAAUGCGGGAAACCGCGAUAAGGGGACACCGAGUGCCAGCAUUUAUGUUGGCUGUCCACAUGUGUAAACGGCAUGUGUUAGCAAGGGCCGGGCAAGACCGGUGCCAGCCGCCGCGGUAACACCGGCGGCCCGAGUGGUAAUCACUUUUAUUGGGUCUAAAGGGUCCGUAGCCGGUUUGAUCAGUUCUUCGGGAAAUCUGACAGCUCAACUGUUAGGCUUCCGGGGAAUACUGUCAGACUUGGGACCGGGAGAGGUAAGAGGUACUACAGGGGUAGGAGU